UACGGAGGGUGCAAGCGUUAUCCGGAUUCACUGGGUUUAAAGGGUGCGUAGGUGGGUUGGUAAGUCAGUGGUGAAAUCUCCGAGCUUAACUUGGAAACUGCCAUUGAUACUAUCAAUCUUGAAUAUUGUGGAGGUUAGCGGAAUAUGUCAUGUAGCGGUGAAAUGCUUAGAUAUGACAUAGAACACCAAUUGCGAAGGCAGCUGGCUACGCAUAUAUUGACACUGAGGCACGAAAGCGUGGGGAUCAAACAGG
RNAcentral lists this ribosomal RNA (253 nucleotides) under uncultured bacterium. Its description in RNAcentral is "partial 16S ribosomal RNA". It matches the Rfam family "Bacterial small subunit ribosomal RNA", at positions 524 to 776 of the family's 1533-position model. The record is from RNAcentral.